GUGAAGAAUGAUGACACAGUGUCCUGGUCUACAGUUUGCUCUCUGUGGGCACACGAUGACAAAACCUCCUGCAGCGAAACAGCAGGCUGACCUCAGC
Small nucleolar RNA from Cavia aperea (Brazilian guinea pig), 97 nucleotides. Lineage: Eukaryota; Metazoa; Chordata; Mammalia; Rodentia; Caviidae. The record is from Ensembl.